Non-coding RNA from Salvelinus sp. IW2-2015, 1138 nucleotides. The record is from RefSeq and is a predicted model, not a curated record. NCBI's taxonomy places the organism in Eukaryota, Metazoa, Chordata, Actinopteri, Salmoniformes, Salmonidae.
UUAUUAAUAUUAGCUCUCUGUGUACAKCCAAGGGUCAGUCGUGCUGCCCUGUUCUGAGCCAUGGUAAGGCUCUAUGGGAGAAAAGAGGGUGGGACAGGAGAAAGAGGUGUAAAAAUCAGGCAUGAUGUGUACUUUAUAGUUUACUUUCGAUAAUUUCCUUMCUCUCAUUUUGUUUGUGUGACCCAUCCAGAGGAGUAGGGGUCAAUGGGAGUCAGAGGGGCGGGAGCACCCCUUAKUACCGGUGCAGAGGAAGGAACGGUGUAACGCUCGUCGUUACGUGGAAGAGAGGAGGACCAAAUUGCAGCGUGAGGCAGCUGCGAUGGAUAGUGGGGAGAUGUUCACUGCUGGAAAAUGUGGUCUGGUCUCUGCCAAGGUGGAACAGUAUGACGCAGGUCUGUGCAGCUUCCCUGGUGAGGUGUCAUCGUACAAUGUGGUGGCGGUACUGAGGAAGGACUCUGGAUGUGUUUUGUUACAUCCCUUACCCAGCUCAACUGUUACCUUCUCAAAAUGUUCAACGGCUUCUCCUGUCAGUGCUCACUACCUGUAUAUCGAUGGGCGGUGGUGGACAGAACCCCUAGAUAACGUUAUAGAUCUGAAAACUCAGCUCACACAGAACUGGUUGGGGUAUUCAUUCAGACACGCACCUCUUUCACACCGGAGAUAGUCCCCUGACAGCUCUCAUUCACUCAGUAGUUAAUAGUAAUAAUAUCUCUUAUCUAAAUCCUCUUAUUAUCCACAUUUCAAAUCAGCUUAACACGUCCUUUCCACACUCACACAGCUCUCACAUCCACAUUCACUUAGUACUAUUCCCAAACGCACUCAGUCAUCUCCCUUAUUACUAUCUCUGUGCAUCUUCAACGAUUCUCGUCGUUACUUGCUAUACAUAUAAAAUAUCACGUGCUCAAUAACACCUUGUGCUAUUUGUAGUGGCUGCAGACCACGUAGACACUUCAAUAAUGGCCUACAGACAGCUGUCAGCAGGGCUUUCCAUGGUACUGUUACUCGCCSUCGCUCUAGUCUUCUCACCAUAAGACUAGUGAAUAGCCUUCUCAUAAGACUAUGGGUACCWUUUUAUUGUUCAGUUUAGUUGGUUUUAUGAUAUACAGUACCAGUCAAAAGUUUGGACACACCUACUCCU